UACGAAGGGGGCUAGCGUUGCUCGGAAUUACUGGGCGUAAAGAGCUCGUAGGCGGUCUGUCGCGUCGGCUGUGAAAACCCGGGGCUCAACCCCGGGCCUGCAGUCGAUACGGGCAGACUAGAGUGCGGUAGGGGAGACUGGAAUUCCUGGUGUAGCGGUGAAAUGCGCAGAUAUCAGGAGGAACACCGGUGGCGAAGGCGGGUCUCUGGGCAAUUCCUGACGCUGAGGCGCGAAAGCGUGGGGAGCAAACGGG
This 253-nucleotide ribosomal RNA is filed under the name uncultured bacterium. RNAcentral describes it as "partial 16S ribosomal RNA". It matches the Rfam family "Bacterial small subunit ribosomal RNA", at positions 524 to 776 of the family's 1533-position model. The record is from RNAcentral.